RNAcentral lists this ribosomal RNA (500 nucleotides) under uncultured Desulfobulbus sp. RNAcentral's name for it is "bacterial SSU rRNA". It matches the Rfam family "Bacterial small subunit ribosomal RNA", at positions 904 to 1382 of the family's 1533-position model. Lineage: Bacteria; Pseudomonadati; Thermodesulfobacteriota; Desulfobulbia; Desulfobulbales; Desulfobulbaceae. The record is from RNAcentral.
CGCCUUGCCAGCCCGCUACAGAAACUUAAGGAAUUGACGGGGCCGCACAAGCGUGGAGCAUGUGGUUAAUUCGAAGCAACGCGAAGAACCUUACCAGGCCUUGACAUGCAGAGAACUUCCAGAGAUGGAUUGGUGCCUUCGGGAACUCUGACACAGGUGCUGCAUGGCUGUCGUCAGCUCGUGUCGUGAGAUGUUGGGUUAAGUCCCGUAACGAGCGCAACCCUUGCCUUUAGUUGCCAGCAGUUCGGCUGGGCACUCUAAAGGGACUGCCGGUGUUAAACCGGAGGAAGGUGGGGAUGACGUCAAGUCCUCAUGGCCUUUAUGACCAGGGCUACACACGUACUACAAUGGCCGAUACAAAGGGCAGCGACACUGCGAGGUGAAGCCAAUCCCGUAAAAUCGGUCUCAGUCCGGAUUGGAGUCUGCAACUCGACUCCAUGAAGUUGGAAUCGCUAGUAAUCGUGGAUCAGCAUGCCACGGUGAAUACGUUCCCGGGCCUU